Molecule: ribosomal RNA, 492 nt
Filed under: uncultured bacterium
Lineage: Bacteria
Description: partial 16S ribosomal RNA
Rfam family: Bacterial small subunit ribosomal RNA
Source: RNAcentral
AGUGAACGCUGGCGGUAGGCCUAUCACAUGCAAGUCGAACGGCAGCACAGUAAGAGCUUGCUCUUACGGGUGGCGAGUGGCGGACGGGUGAGGAAUAUAUCGGAAUCUACUUUUUCGUGGGGGAUAACGUAGGGAAACUUACGCUAAUACCGCAUACGACCUACGGGUGAAAGCAGGGGAUCUUCGGACCUUGCGCGAUUGAAUGAGCCGAUGUCGGAUUAGCUAGUUGGCGGGGUAAAGGCCCACCAAGGCGACGAUCCGUAGCUGGUCUGAGAGGAUGAUCAGCCACACUGGAACUGAGACACGGUCCAGACUCCUACGGGAGGCAGCAGUGGGGAAUAUUGGACAAUGGGCGCAAGCCUGAUCCAGCCAUACCGCGUGGGUGAAGAAGGCCUUCGGGUUGUAAAGCCCUUUUGUUGGGAAAGAAAAGCAGCAGGUUAAUACCCCGCUGUUCUGACGGUACCCAAAGAAUAAGCACCGGCUAACUUCGUG